Molecule: ribosomal RNA, 200 nt
Filed under: uncultured bacterium
Lineage: Bacteria
Description: partial 16S ribosomal RNA
Rfam family: Bacterial small subunit ribosomal RNA
Source: RNAcentral
UACAGAGGGUGCGAGCGUUAAUCGGAAUUACUGGGCGUAAAGCGCACGUAGGUGGAUUUGAAAGUUGGAUGUGAAAGCCCUGGGCUUAACCUGGGAAUGCCAUUCAAAACUUCAAGUCUAGAGUACAGUAGAGGAAAGUGGAAUUUCCGGUGUAGCGGUGAAAUGCGUAGAUAUCGGAAGGAACACCAGUGGCGAAGGCG